Molecule: ribosomal RNA, 345 nt
Filed under: fungal sp.
Lineage: Eukaryota; Fungi
Description: partial small subunit ribosomal RNA
Rfam family: Eukaryotic small subunit ribosomal RNA (bases 1-104)
Source: RNAcentral
UAAAUAGCCAGGCUAGCUUUGGCUGGUCGCCGGCUUCUUAGAGGGACUAUCGGCUCAAGCCGAUGGAAGUUUGAGGCAAUAACAGGUCUGUGAUGCCCUUAAAUCUAGGGGUGUAAAUUUUUUAGUCGUUUUGCGGCAACAUUGCUACUCUGGCAGGAAAGCAUUCCAAGCAACCUGCAGCUGCUGUGGCAGUACAGAGACUAAAUGGCAGUGGGCGUUAAAAGGCGCUUCUGAUAUAGUCCAACCCUUAGGAGAAGUUCUAAGGUCUUAAGUGUAGAUGUUCUGGGCCGCACGCGCGCUACACUGACAGAGCCAACGAGUUCAUCACCUUGGCCGAAAGGUCUG